RNAcentral lists this long non-coding RNA (223 nucleotides) under Pan troglodytes (chimpanzee). RNAcentral's name for it is "long non-coding RNA NONPTRT015068". Lineage: Eukaryota; Metazoa; Chordata; Mammalia; Primates; Hominidae. The record is from RNAcentral.
UCUCAGCUUCCUGGGUAGCUGGGAUUACAAGCGAAUGCUAGCACGCCCAGCUAAUUUUUCUGUAUUUUUAGUAGAGAUGGGGUUUCACUGGAUUCUUUCACUUAAUUUUUGUUAAAAAAAAAUUAGAUUCAUUUUCUUUUCUUUUUUCUUUCUUUUUUUUUUUUUUUUUUCAAGGAGGAGACUUGCUCUGUCGCCCAGGCUGGAGUGCAGUGGCGCGAUCUUG